Molecule: non-coding RNA, 549 nt
Organism: Salvelinus sp. IW2-2015
Lineage: Eukaryota; Metazoa; Chordata; Actinopteri; Salmoniformes; Salmonidae
Source: RefSeq, a predicted model, not a curated record
GAGAUCUUAACCUCCAUAGAAAUGAUUAAGCAACAGAAUUUCCAGGUGUCUCUCUUCUGUCCACUUUUUCUGUUGCUUAAUCAUUGUGUUGCAGCUUCAAAAGCUUCAGGCGAACAGAUCAACACUGGAUGAGGUUCCAGAUUUGACAGACCUUCGACUUCCAAUGUCCUCGCUGGAAGACAUGAGGAGAGUUGAGGGUCAACUUUCAGAUCAAGACUUAAAAAAUAACCUGACCAUAUAUUUGGGACUGUCUGGAGGGAUGAACACCAAGGAGAAUGUGUGGAGAAUCCUCUCAAAACUCCUUACAAAUGGCCUGGCCAUGAAAAUGAAUUGGAGAGGGGCCAAUGGGAACAGGCUUUUGAACCUCUUGCCUUAAAAAGUUUUGUUAUCGGUGCUGUGCAUCGCAGCCAUUCUGAAGUUCCUGAUGUGAAGAUAGAAAAAUAAAUAAAAUGAUGGAUGCAGCUAGCCACUGACAGAGAUGGAGGGAGAAAAAGUAGAGAGCGAGUGAGAAGUGACCAGACCGUGGAGGAGUGAUGGAGAAAACUGAAU